This 253-nucleotide ribosomal RNA is filed under the name uncultured bacterium. Its description in RNAcentral is "partial 16S ribosomal RNA". It matches the Rfam family "Bacterial small subunit ribosomal RNA", at positions 524 to 776 of the family's 1533-position model. The record is from RNAcentral.
UACAGAGGGUGCAAGCGUUGUUCGGAAUUACUGGGCGUAAAGGGCGUGUAGGCGGUUUAGCAAGUCAGAUGUGAAAUCCCAGGGCUUAACUCUGGAAGUGCAUUUGAAACUGCUAGGCUAGAGUAUAGUAGAGGUUGGCGGAAUACCCAAUGGAGAGGUGAAAUUCGUAGAUAUUGGGUGGAACACCGGUGGCGAAGGCGGCCAACUGGGCUAUAACUGACGCUGAGGCGCGAGAGCGUGGGGAGCAAACAGG